CUUCCCAUUACUUGAUGCUAUAAUUUCACAAUGAUACAAGCAAUUAUAUGCACAAGAUAAAAUAAUAUUGGGCCACUGUAAAUUGACAUAAAGUAACCAUUUUUCUCUCCUCUGUAUCACUGGACAUUG
Otolemur garnettii (small-eared galago) is the source of this 129-nucleotide small nucleolar RNA. Lineage: Eukaryota; Metazoa; Chordata; Mammalia; Primates; Galagidae. The record is from Ensembl.